AUUUCAUUCAUUAAGAAAAAUAAAAUUUAUGGUAGUAACAUGAAUAUAUAUAUAUAUAUAGAGAGAGAGAGAGAGAGAGUCCGGCUGGUAUACUAUCGAUAGCACCAAGCACCAAGCACUGGAUGCUACCGAAUUUUCCACCGUUAGAUUGAACACUUUGACUAUUUUACCCGUUUGAUUAUACUAUUCAACCGACAACUUAAUUACUCAACCCUGAAGGGCCCACAUCAUCCUAAUCGUACAUUUCUUCAUCUAAGGGCCAAAAACCUAAUAGCACCGAUAGCUUGAUGGUAUUAAUAGUCUUUCAGUCUAAUUCUAUAUAUAUAAUAGUACGACAGUUCCAAUACUCAUAAUAGUAUAGUAGCCACGACCUAUAUAUAUAUAUAUAUAUAUAUAUAAUCUCAU
Molecule: long non-coding RNA, 405 nt
Filed under: Ananas comosus (pineapple)
Lineage: Eukaryota; Viridiplantae; Streptophyta; Magnoliopsida; Poales; Bromeliaceae
Description: long non-coding RNA (ACOM_LNC018773)
Source: RNAcentral